RNAcentral lists this ribosomal RNA (253 nucleotides) under uncultured bacterium. RNAcentral's name for it is "partial 16S ribosomal RNA". It matches the Rfam family "Bacterial small subunit ribosomal RNA", at positions 524 to 776 of the family's 1533-position model. The record is from RNAcentral.
UACGUAGGGUGCGAGCGUUAAUCGGAAUGACUGGGCGUAAAGGGUGCGCAGGCGGUUGGUCAAGUCGGAUGUGAAAGCCCCGGGCUUAACCUGGGAGGGGCAUUCGUGACUGACGAACUAGAAUAUGGCAGAGGGAGGCGGAAUUCCACAUGUAGCAGUGAAAUGCGUAGAGAUGUGGAGGAACACCGAUGGCGAAGGCAGCCUUCUGGGCUAAUAUUGACGCUGAGGCACGAAAGCGUGGGGAGCAAACAGG